Small nucleolar RNA from Otolemur garnettii (small-eared galago), 132 nucleotides. The record is from Ensembl. Lineage: Eukaryota; Metazoa; Chordata; Mammalia; Primates; Galagidae.
GUGCAUGUGGCCAGCACCAUAACCAUUGUGCUACAGGCACUGAGCCAUGUAACAUGCUGUAUUUAAAAAGGAAUUCUUAGGGCUGUCAAUAUUGUAAUGAAUGUCAAGAAGUACUAUCUAACUCCUACAGAA